RNAcentral lists this ribosomal RNA (589 nucleotides) under uncultured Bacillus sp. RNAcentral's name for it is "bacterial SSU rRNA". It matches the Rfam family "Bacterial small subunit ribosomal RNA", at positions 338 to 918 of the family's 1533-position model. The record is from RNAcentral. Lineage: Bacteria; Bacillati; Bacillota; Bacilli; Caryophanales; Bacillaceae.
CCUACGGGAGGCAGCAGUAGGGAAUCUUCCGCAAUGGACGAAAGUCUGACGGAGCAACGCCGCGUGAGUGAUGAAGGUUUUCGGAUCGUAAAACUCUGUUGUUAGGGAAGAACAAGUAUCGGAGUAACUGCCGGUACCUUGACGGUACCUAACCAGAAAGCCACGGCUAACUACGUGCCAGCAGCCGCGGUAAUACGUAGGUGGCAAGCGUUGUCCGGAAUUAUUGGGCGUAAAGCGCGCGCAGGUGGUCCCUUAAGUCUGAUGUGAAAGCCCCCGGCUCAACCGGGGAGGGUCAUUGGAAACUGGGAGACUUGAGUGCAGGAGAGAAGAGUGGAAUUCCACGUGUAGCGGUGAAAUGCGUAGAGAUGUGGAGGAACACCAGUGGCGAAGGCGACUCUUUGGCCUGUAACUGACACUGAGGCGCGAAAGCGUGGGGAGCAAACAGGAUUAGAUACCCUGGUAGUCCACGCCGUAAACGAUGAGUGCUAAGUGUUAGAGGGUUUCCGCCCUUUAGUGCUGCAGCAAACGCAUUAAGCACUCCGCCUGGGGAGUACGGCCGCAAGGCUGAAACUCAAAUGAAUUGACGGGG